RNAcentral lists this ribosomal RNA (427 nucleotides) under uncultured Acidobacterium sp. RNAcentral's name for it is "bacterial SSU rRNA". It matches the Rfam family "Bacterial small subunit ribosomal RNA", at positions 958 to 1385 of the family's 1533-position model. Lineage: Bacteria; Pseudomonadati; Acidobacteriota; Terriglobia; Terriglobales; Acidobacteriaceae. The record is from RNAcentral.
AACGCGAAGAACCUUACCUGGGCUCGAAAUGUUGUGGACCGGGGUGGAAACAUCCCUUCCCCGCAAGGGGCUGCAAUAUAGGUGCUGCAUGGCUGUCGUCAGCUCGUGUCGUGAGAUGUUGGGUUAAGUCCCGCAACGAGCGCAACCCUUACCCCCAGUUGCCAUCAUUUAGUUGGGCACUCUGGUGGAACCGCCUCGGAUAACGGGGAGGAAGGUGGGGAUGACGUCAAGUCCUCAUGGCCUUUAUGUCCAGGGCUACACACGUGCUACAAUGGCCGGUACAAACCGUCGCAAACCCGUGAGGGGGAGCUAAUCGGAAAAAGCCGGCCUCAGUUCGGAUCGCAGUCUGCAACUCGACUGCGUGAAGCUGGAAUCGCUAGUAAUCGCGGAUCAGAACGCCGCGGUGAAUACGUUCCCGGGCCUUGUA